AAGAGAGUGGAGCCUCCGCGCUCGAACU
Molecule: small RNA, 28 nt
Filed under: Bombyx mori (domestic silkworm)
Lineage: Eukaryota; Metazoa; Arthropoda; Insecta; Lepidoptera; Bombycidae
Description: ovarian small RNA-10520
Source: RNAcentral